GCUAUAUAAGCGAACGGAGAAGAAGAACAAAAGGGGUGAAAAACGCAAGGAGAAAAUACGAUACCAGAGAACACAGUGACAACUACAACUUGGGAGACCAAUUGGAGGGUGAUUCAACUGGCUUUGAUCAUCAUUCAUCUACAAUUUUAUGUGUGUUUACAAGCGUAUUUCGGACGAAUGGCUGAAGAAGCAGUCUCCGCAGAAGCAGUACAACGUGCUGAAAUUCUUGCAGCGGCUUAAGUUCUGGAAGCAUGAUAAUAAACCUUAUAUGGAUGGUGGUUUCUCAGGACCUACUCGCCAUGGCAAGGCUAAACAGAGCAUCCAGAUGUAAAAUCAGUAUUCCUAACUGGAAAAUGUACACCCCAAACAACCAACUCAUGGAUUUUCCUUGGAUUGGGAAAAAAGGAUAAUGUUCUCGAGGCCUCAUUAUGGCGAAAAACAUUUGGGGAAGACAUAAUCAUUGCAAACAUAGACUCAGGUGUUUUGCCCGAAUCUAAAAGUUUUAGUGAUGAAGAUAUGGGGCCGAUCCCAACUAGAUGGCGUGGAAUUUGUCAAACUGGCAAAGACAAUUCUGAUAAUUUUCAUUGCAAUAGGUUAGAACUGUCAAAACGGGCGGCUCUGCCAUAUUUCGGGCCGGUCCGGUCGGGCUUCGUUGGGCCGGGCUAAAAAGCCCGGAUAAAAAACGGGUAGUCGGGCUUUCGGGCCGACCCUUUUUUUUUUUUUUUUUUUACUUCUA
Trifolium pratense (red clover) is the source of this 736-nucleotide RNA transcript. It is a transcript of the gene named subtilisin-like protease SBT5.3, with no coding region annotated. The transcript is spliced from 4 exons. NCBI's taxonomy places the organism in Eukaryota, Viridiplantae, Streptophyta, Magnoliopsida, Fabales, Fabaceae. The record is from RefSeq and is a predicted model, not a curated record.